Molecule: unclassified non-coding RNA, 104 nt
Filed under: uncultured Tremellales
Lineage: Eukaryota; Fungi; Basidiomycota; Tremellomycetes; Tremellales
Description: sequence contains ITS1
Source: RNAcentral
GAGAUGUGCGUAAGCACUUUUCCCUUCUUACACCUGUGCACCGUUUGGUCUUCGGACCUUUACAAAUACAUGUAGUCAUGAACGUAAAUUAUUAUAAUCUAAUA